Molecule: ribosomal RNA, 401 nt
Filed under: Salmonella enterica subsp. enterica serovar Kentucky
Lineage: Bacteria; Pseudomonadati; Pseudomonadota; Gammaproteobacteria; Enterobacterales; Enterobacteriaceae
Description: bacterial SSU rRNA
Rfam family: Bacterial small subunit ribosomal RNA
Source: RNAcentral
AAAUUGAAGAGUUUGAUCAUGGCUCAGAUUGAACGCUGGCGGCAGGCCUAACACAUGCAAGUCGAACGGUAACAGGAAGCAGCUUGCUGCUUUGCUGACGAGUGGCGGACGGGUGAGUAAUGUCUGGGAAACUGCCUGAUGGAGGGGGAUAACUACUGGAAACGGUGGCUAAUACCGCAUAACGUCGCAAGACCAAAGAGGGGGACCUUCGGGCCUCUUGCCAUCAGAUGUGCCCAGAUGGGAUUAGCUUGUUGGUGAGGUAACGGCUCACCAAGGCGACGAUCCCUAGCUGGUCUGAGAGGAUGACUAGCCACACUGGAACUGAGACACGGUCCAGACUCCUACGGGAGGCAGCAGUGGGGAAUAUUGCACAAUGGGCGCAAGCCUGAUGCAGCCAUGCC